RNAcentral lists this ribosomal RNA (641 nucleotides) under uncultured bacterium. RNAcentral's name for it is "bacterial SSU rRNA". It matches the Rfam family "Bacterial small subunit ribosomal RNA", at positions 9 to 653 of the family's 1533-position model. The record is from RNAcentral.
GAGUUUGAUCAUGGCUCAGGAUGAGCGCUAGCGGCAGGCUUAACACAUGCAGGUCGAGGGGUAGUAUAGCAAUAUAUGAGACCGGCGCACGGGUGCGUAACGCGUAUGCAAUCUACCUUUUACAGGGGAAUAGCCCAGAGAAAUUUGGAUUAAUGCCCCAUGGUAUAAUUGAUUGGCAUCAAUUAAUUAUUAAAGUUCCAACGGUAAAAGAUGAGCAUGCGUCCCAUUAGCUAGUUGGUAUGGUAACGGCAUACCAAGGCGAUGAUGGGUAGGGGUCCUGAGAGGGAGAUCCCCCACACUGGUACUGAGACACGGACCAGACUCCUACGGGAGGCAGCAGUGAGGAAUAUUGGACAAUGGGCGCAAGCCUGAUCCAGCCAUGCCGCGUGCAGGAAGAAGCAUCUAUGGUGUGUAAACUGCUUUUAUACAGGAAGAAACACUCCCUCGUGAGGGAGCUUGACGGUACUGUAAGAAUAAGGACCGGCUAACUCCGUGCCAGCAGCCGCGGUAAUACGGAGGGUCCAAGCGUUAUCCGGAAUCAUUGGGUUUAAAGGGUCCGUAGGCGGUUUAAUAAGUCAGUGGUGAAAGCCCAUCGCUCAACGAUGGAACGGCCAUUGAUACUGUUAGACUUGAAAUAUUAG